RNAcentral lists this ribosomal RNA (460 nucleotides) under uncultured bacterium. RNAcentral describes it as "partial 16S ribosomal RNA". It matches the Rfam family "Bacterial small subunit ribosomal RNA", at positions 338 to 795 of the family's 1533-position model. The record is from RNAcentral.
CCUACGGGAGGCUGCAGUGAGGAAUAUUGGUCAAUGGGCUUACGCCUGAACCAGCCAAGUCGCGUGAGGGAAGACUGCCCUAUGGGUUGUAAACCUCUUUUGUCAGGGAGCAAUUGGCGCUACGUGUAGCGUUAUCGAGAGUACCUGAAGAAAAAGCAUCGGCUAACUCCGUGCCAGCAGCCGCGGUAAUACGGAGGAUGCGAGCGUUAUCCGGAUUUAUUGGGUUUAAAGGGUGCGUAGGCGGAAUGCCAAGUCAGCGGUAAAAUCGCGGGGCUCAACCUCGCUCCGCCGGUGAAACUGGCGUGCUUGAGUGGGCGAGAAGUAUGCGGAAUGCGUGGUGUAGCGGUGAAAUGCAUAGAUAUCACGCAGAACGCCGAUUGCGAAGGCAGCAUACCGGCGCCCAACUGACGCUGAAGCACGAAAGCGUGGGUAUCGAACAGGAUUAGAUACCCCGGUAGUC